This 1184-nucleotide unclassified non-coding RNA is filed under the name Hevea brasiliensis (rubber tree). The record is from RNAcentral. Lineage: Eukaryota; Viridiplantae; Streptophyta; Magnoliopsida; Malpighiales; Euphorbiaceae.
CUCCAAAAUUAUAUAAAAUGUAAUCAAGAAUUAUAGUCCAGAUCUACCCUGUCAUAAUUGGAAGAUGGUCAAUGAUGACGAGGACAUCCAUCAGUGAUGACCGCUAUUUCUGAAAAGUUAGUUGGAAGCAUUUGCUUCCAAGUUGCAACCCCCCAGAGUAGAAAUUCUUCCUUGUCAUUUAUUGAAUUCCAGCAUGCUAUGAUUGAUCUUCCACUCCUUGGUUUGCAUUUGAAUCACCGUUGGCUGCCAAACCUCGAAUCUUAACAUCAUAGUACACUUCUUCAACCCUUCUUAGAUCAUACUUCAUACCAUCAAACUUCUUGCGCAGAAAAUCAUUCCGGAGAUUAAGCAUGCGGAAGGCUGCAUGGAGGUCUGUCAAGAACUUCAACACCUUUCUUGGGCAAUCAUAGUCCCCAGCAGUCACUCGAUUCACCACAUAUCUAGGCAUUUCAUUUGACAUGAAACAAACACCAAUAAGAUAGUCCUCAAUGUCCAAAACAAACUCUGAACUGUUCAACCCAAGUUUUUCCUCUGCUUCAGAAUGUGUAAGUAGAUUUCCUGUCUCUAACCAGUGCAUAAAAGCAAGCAGAGAAACCAGGAUCUGGGUUUCACUUCUCCAAUCUCCAUGAUACCUGUAAUAUUGCCCAGGGCAAUCACGAAUAAUUUCUGCAAGUUGGCCGUAAAGUCCCUUCAGGACUCCAAUUUGAGCCUUAGCCUCUUCUAAAACCUCUGGAAUUGGGCGGGAUUGGUGGACAAGGAGAAGGCUAACGUGCAUGAGUCUAGUGGCGGACUCGAUCUCCACCACGACUGCUCGAAUUUUCUCGCGUAAGGCUCCGGAUUCUUCAAGCUGCGCACGGAAAUCCUUGAACUGCUUCUCGAGAGGAGGAGGAGAAAGGUUGGGGGCGUGAGAAUCGUCGGCGCUCGCCAUUGACGAGAAGGAGCAGAACGAGCGAAAAGGUAGGUGUUGCGGACGAAAAGGCAAGAAAGAGAGUGAAAGAGAGGUGGUGAUGGAAGGGAGAGAGUGGGAAAUGGUAGAGGGCUUGGGGAUAGGGUUUAAGGAGCGAGAGAGGGAGAAGUAGGCGUUUCUAAACGCCGAUUUCAUUUUGCUUCUCCUUUUAACCGGAUAAUCUUGUGGUUUCUCCUUGACCCCUUGAGACACAACCGCAGAGGAUCCGUGAUUUCCU